RNAcentral lists this ribosomal RNA (1005 nucleotides) under Bacillus sp. NMLR12. Its description in RNAcentral is "bacterial SSU rRNA". It matches the Rfam family "Bacterial small subunit ribosomal RNA", at positions 49 to 1038 of the family's 1533-position model. The record is from RNAcentral. Lineage: Bacteria; Bacillati; Bacillota; Bacilli; Caryophanales; Bacillaceae.
CUAUACUGCAGUCGAGCGAAUCGGAGGGAGCUUGCUCCCAAAGAUUAGCGGCGGACGGGUGAGUAACACGUGGGCAACCUGCCUGUAAGACUGGGAUAACUUCGGGAAACCGGAGCUAAUACCGGAUAAUCCUUUUCCUCUCAUGAGGGAAAGCUGAAAGACGGUUUCGGCUGUCACUUACAGAUGGGCCCGCGGCGCAUUAGCUAGUUGGUGAGGUAACGGCUCACCAAGGCGACGAUGCGUAGCCGACCUGAGAGGGUGAUCGGCCACACUGGGACUGAGACACGGCCCAGACUCCUACGGGAGGCAGCAGUAGGGAAUCUUCCGCAAUGGACGAAAGUCUGACGGAGCAACGCCGCGUGAGCGAAGAAGGCCUUCGGGUCGUAAAGCUCUGUUGUCAGGGAAGAACAAGUGCCGGAGUAACUGCCGGCACCUUGACGGUACCUGACCAGAAAGCCACGGCUAACUACGUGCCAGCAGCCGCGGUAAUACGUAGGUGGCAAGCGUUGUCCGGAAUUAUUGGGCGUAAAGCGCGCGCAGGCGGUCCUUUAAGUCUGAUGUGAAAGCCCACGGCUCAACCGUGGAGGGUCAUUGGAAACUGGGGGACUUGAGUGCAGAAGAGGAGAGUGGAAUUCCACGUGUAGCGGUGAAAUGCGUAGAGAUGUGGAGGAACACCAGUGGCGAAGGCGACUCUCUGGUCUGUAACUGACGCUGAGGCGCGAAAGCGUGGGGAGCGAACAGGAUUAGAUACCCUGGUAGUCCACGCCGUAAACGAUGAGUGCUAAGUGUUAGAGGGUUUCCGCCCUUUAGUGCUGCAGCAAACGCAUUAAGCACUCCGCCUGGGGAGUACGGCCGCAAGGCUGAAACUCAAAGGAAUUGACGGGGGCCCGCACAAGCGGUGGAGCAUGUGGUUUAAUUCGAAGCAACGCGAAGAACCUUACCAGGCUUGACAUCCUCUGACAACCCUAAGAUAGGGCGUUCCCCUUCGGGGGACAGAGUGACAGG